ACACCACGGCUCGCGAAGCACGACGCUUUCCAAACGCGAGAUUUCAGACCCACCAUGCUCUGGCCCACGACGUGAAUGACACCGUUGGACAGACAGUUCGGUAAGCAAAAUUAAAACCGAAAAUGGCAAAGAAGUCCAGGUUACAGGUGCAUGUGCCUGGUUCAGCGACUCCCGCGUUGUCUACGUAAAUCCAAAUGGCGCUGGGUGCACUAACACUAUUACAAGAGCUGAAUUGGCAGCAAUUCGUGCUGCCCUCGCAGAAUUUGGUGGCGAAGGUAAAGAAUUUGCAAAUAAGAAGCUC
RNAcentral lists this long non-coding RNA (301 nucleotides) under Chlamydomonas reinhardtii. RNAcentral describes it as "long non-coding RNA (CREI_LNC000199)". Lineage: Eukaryota; Viridiplantae; Chlorophyta; Chlorophyceae; Chlamydomonadales; Chlamydomonadaceae. The record is from RNAcentral.